This 459-nucleotide ribosomal RNA is filed under the name uncultured bacterium. RNAcentral describes it as "partial 16S ribosomal RNA". It matches the Rfam family "Bacterial small subunit ribosomal RNA", at positions 338 to 795 of the family's 1533-position model. The record is from RNAcentral.
CCUACGGGAGGCAGCAGUGAGGAAUAUUGGUCAAUGGGCGGGAGCCUGAACCAGCCAAGCCGCGUGAGGGAAGAAGGUACAGCGUAUCGUAAACCUCUUUUGUCAGGGAACAAAGGCGGGUACUAGUCCCCGGCUGAGGGUACCUGAAGAAAAAGCAUCGGCAAACUCCGUGCCAGCAGCCGCGGUAAUCCGGAGGCUGCGAGCGUUAUCCGGGUUUAUUGGGUUAAAGGGGUGCGCAGUGGGCCUGUUAAGUCCGUGGUAAAAGCCCGGGGCUAAACCCCGGAGAGCCGUUGAAACUGGCGGGCUGGAGUGGGGGAGAAGUAAGUGGAAUGCGUGGUGUAGCGGUGAAAUGCUUAGAUAUCGCGCAGAACCCCGAUUGCGAAGGCAGCGUACCGGAUCCAAACUGACGCUGAGGCACGAAAGCGUGGGUAUCGAACAGGAUUAGAUACCCCAGUAGUC